RNAcentral lists this ribosomal RNA (481 nucleotides) under uncultured bacterium. RNAcentral describes it as "partial 16S ribosomal RNA". It matches the Rfam family "Bacterial small subunit ribosomal RNA", at positions 29 to 506 of the family's 1533-position model. The record is from RNAcentral.
AUUGAACGCUGGCGGCAUGCUUUACACAUGCAAGUCGAACAGUAACAGGCCGCAAGGUGCUGACGAGUGGCGAACGGGUGAGUAAUGCAUCGGAACGUGCCCAGUCGUGGGGGAUAACUACUCGAAAGAGUAGCUAAUACCGCAUACGAUCUAUGGAUGAAAGCGGGGGACCGUAAGGCCUCGCGCGAUUGGAGCGGCCGAUGUCAGAUUAGGUAGUUGGUGGGGUAAAGGCUCACCAAGCCAACGAUCUGUAGCUGGUCUGAGAGGACGACCAGCCACAUCGGGACGGAGACCCGGCCCAGACCCCGACGGGAGGGAGGGGGGGGAAAUUUGGAAAAAGGGGCGAAAGCCUGAUCCAGGCUGGCCGCGGGCAGGAAGAAGGCCUUCGGUUUGUAACCUGCUUUUGUACGGAACAAAACGGCUUUGGUUAAUCCCCGGGGCAAAUGACGGUCCCGUAAGAAUAAGCACCGGCUAACUACGU